RNAcentral lists this small RNA (125 nucleotides) under Marmota monax (woodchuck). The record is from RNAcentral. Lineage: Eukaryota; Metazoa; Chordata; Mammalia; Rodentia; Sciuridae.
GCUGGGCGCAGUGGCACACACCUGUCAUCCCAGCAGCUCGGGAGGCUGAGGCAGGAGGAUCUUGAGUUCAGAGCCAGCCUCAGCAAAAGUGAGGCUUUGAGCAACUCAGUGAGACCCUGUCUCUA